CACGGAGUUAGCCGAUCCUUAUUCUUCAGGUACAUUCAGCUUCCCACACGUGGAAAGGUUUAUUCCCUGACAAAAGCAGUUUACAACCCAUAGGGCAGUCAUCCUGCACGCGGCAUGGCUGGUUCAGAGUUCCCUCCAUUGACCAAUAUUCCUUACUGCUGCCUCCCGUAGGAGUCUGGUCCGUGUCUCAGUACCAGUGUGGGGGAUUCUCCUCUCAGAGCCCCUAGACAUCGUAGCCUUGGUGGGCCGUUACCCCUCCAACUAGCUAAUGUCACGCGAGCCCAUCCAUAUCCUAUAAAUAUUUGAUCAUAAUCCGAUGCCGUAAAUGAUGUAUGCGGUGUUAAUCUCUCUUUCGAGAGGCUAUCCCCUGAUAUGGGUAGGUUGCUCACGCGUUACGCACCCGUGCGCCACUCUCAUGAAAUCAAAGCAAGCUUUAAUUUCAAUUCCCGUCCGACUUGCAUGUAUUAGGCCUGCGCUAGCGUUCAUCC
This 488-nucleotide ribosomal RNA is filed under the name uncultured Sphingobacterium sp. RNAcentral's name for it is "partial 16S ribosomal RNA". The record is from RNAcentral. Lineage: Bacteria; Pseudomonadati; Bacteroidota; Sphingobacteriia; Sphingobacteriales; Sphingobacteriaceae.